CUAAUACUCACUCCGUACGACAAAAGAUGUCUCAACUUUGAUCAAAUUUGAAUGCAUCUAUACACUAAAUAUUGUCUAGCUACAUCCAAAUUUUGACAAACUUGAGACAUCUUUUGUCGGACAGAGGUAGUACCAG
Brachypodium distachyon (stiff brome) is the source of this 136-nucleotide non-coding RNA. NCBI's taxonomy places the organism in Eukaryota, Viridiplantae, Streptophyta, Magnoliopsida, Poales, Poaceae. The record is from Rfam.